Molecule: ribosomal RNA, 413 nt
Filed under: bacterium enrichment culture clone ALO1_GLFRUDD03FMY57
Lineage: Bacteria
Also listed under: 11 other names
Description: bacterial SSU rRNA
Rfam family: Bacterial small subunit ribosomal RNA
Source: RNAcentral
GAGUUUGAUCUUGGCUCAGAUUGAACGCUGGCGGCAUGCCUUACACAUGCAAGUCGAACGGCAGCACGGGAGCUUGCUCCUGGUGGCGAGUGGCGAACGGGUGAGUAAUGCAUCGGAACGUAUCCUGGAGUGGGGGAUAACGUAGCGAAAGUUACGCUAAUACCGCAUAUUCUGUGAGCAGGAAAGCGGGGGACCUUCGGGCCUCGCGCUCUUGGAGCGGCCGAUGUCGGAUUAGCUAGUUGGUGAGGUAAAGGCUCACCAAGGCGACGAUCCGUAGCAGGUCUGAGAGGAUGAUCUGCCACACUGGAACUGAGACACGGUCCAGACUCCUACGGGAGGCAGCAGUGGGGAAUUUUGGACAAUGGGGGCAACCCUGAUCCAGCCAUGCCGCGUGAGUGAAGAAGGCCUCGGUU